Molecule: ribosomal RNA, 426 nt
Filed under: uncultured bacterium
Lineage: Bacteria
Description: partial 16S ribosomal RNA
Rfam family: Bacterial small subunit ribosomal RNA
Source: RNAcentral
UGGGGAAUAUUGCACAAUGGGCGCAAGCCUGAUGCAGCCAUGCCGCGUGUAUGAAGAAGGCCUUCGGGUUGUAAAGUACUUUCAGCGGGGAUGAAGGGAGUAAAGUUAAUACCUUUGCUCAUUGACGUUACCCGCAGAAGAAGCACCGGCUAACUCCGUGCCAGCAGCCGCGGUAAUACGGAGGGUGCAAGCGUUAAUCGGAAUUACUGGGCGUAAAGCGCACGCAGGCGGUUUGUUAAGUCAGAUGUGAAAUCCCCGGGCUCAACCUGGGAACUGCAUCUGAUACUGGCAAGCUUGAGUCUCGUAGAGGGGGGUAGAGUUCCAGGUGUAGCGGUGAAAUGCGUAGAGAUCUGAGGAAUACCGGUGGCGAAGGCGGCCCCCUGGACGAAGACUGACGCUCAGGUGCGAAAGCGUGGGGAGCAAACA